AGCAUUCAACAAUGAACCGUACGUGCAAAGAUAUGGUAUACAAAUUUCAAGACAAUUAUAAAUCAGCAUUUGGACAAAGUAAGCGUAUUAACUAUGUCAAAAAUUCCACCAACAUGUGAACCCCACAAGAAUAAAGCCACAAAAUAACAAGAAGACAAAAUAACAUGAUAUGCUUUGAAGAUAAAAUUUCAGCAAAAGAAGACAAACAUGCAGUGAAGGCUAUGUAAGUAGUUUCAGCUAACGUGUCAUUUAUUCUAAGCCACGUACAAUUAUCAUCAGUUAUUUUUAGUAGGUAGUAGUUACAUGUAAAAUGAAUAAUGUGUAUUAGUGUAUGCACACAUGUCAUAUAGAGGACAUAAAAAGUUAGAUUAAUCAACUCUUUUGAUGCCUAUUUAAGGCAUUGAACUUGUACUAAUAAGAGGCAUUCAAAAUCCCUCUACAAUUCUCUCCAUUUUUCCUUCUCCAAUCUAUUUUUUCUCUUUCCCUAAAUCAAUAGAAAGUUCUAUUUUAAGCAUUCUCUCUACUGUUUUAUUUAUUUGAUUUCAUGUUUUUUUAAUUUUAAUUUUACUAUUACUUUUGUUAUUCUCUUUUCUUUAAACUUUCUUAAUAUUUUGUUUUAAGCUUUGUUUGUUCUUGCUCCCUUCUGUUACUCUGCCCAAUUUCACUUAGGAUUUCGUGUUGAAACUUGGUCCUUCCCCUUAAUUGGUAUCAGAGCCAAGUUGUCCGAGAAGGGUAUGAGCAGGAGCGGAUAAGUCCAUACGUUGUCAUUGGGCGGAUGGCGUCGAAACUUAAGUUGCAGUGGGGAUGGGGUAGCCAAAUAAUUCUCGAUUUAGACGUUGGUGAGCACAUACUUUUCGUUGGAUUAGCGUAGAUUGUGUGUGUCGUAAAGCUGGAUCCGGAGGGAGUUACCGUCACCAAGCCUAUAGGAAUAAUAUCAACGAAAAAUAGUGAAAAGGUGCAGGCACAAGUGGAUGUUAGAACUUACAGUACGACGUUGCUGCUAUACGGACGUGGAGCUUUCAUCUGGACUUGGUAGGCCCUCAUGCUUUUGAGGCUGUCUACUGUUAUUAUCUAUCUUAGAUGUAGGCUUUAUCUAGUGGAGCAUGUUCACUAGUGUUUUAUUUCCCAUUUCAUUUCAUACUUUGUAUUGGUUCCUUUUUUGGCAAGUAUACAUUUAAUGCAGCUACGAACUAGUUCUUUCAUUUGAUGAUCCUAAUGUUAGAUGAAUGAUGGUGAACCAUUAUACAUGUAAUGAAAUGUUUAGUAAUCAUGUUAGGAAACAAAAAGUUUCAAAUUUUCUGGAAAAAUUAACCUAGACGAACUAAGAAUGACGUAAGUAGGCUUGUCUGCGACCUCUGAGAGGUCAACAUUGCCGGUCAUGUCUAGGGUCUAGACUAAGGUCGUGAAAAAGUUGGAAUCAGAGCCCUAGGUUAAAUUCCAAAUAUGGUAAGUUCACAUCAACCACAUUAAGUAGUUUCUAAUUCAUAAUAGAGAAGUGCACCACUAUCCUUAAUCAUAGACUACAUGAUUGGUGGGAAUAUCUCCCUUUUUCUUAUCUUAUCGCGCCUUUCCUAAUGUCUGGUUUCUUGUGUUAUGCGCGUGUCUAACAUCAGCUCCUGGUGUUUACAUAGAAUGAACACUAGAAGAACUAUUGGUCAGAGGAGAGGAUAGUAGUUGCUGGGAACAAUCAGGUUCCACCCUAGGUUCCAACUGAAAGACUGGCUAUGCCAGUUAACCCAACUGCAUUGACUAAUGCGUAGGUGUGGGCAUUUCAGGGUUAGAUGGCACAGGCCAUCACUAUGCAUGCUCAAGACAUGACUGCCCAGGUCAACCGGCAGAAUGUUGAGAGGGAGAACCCACCUGUGCGUAGCAUGGCUGACAGGCUAAGAGACUUCACGAGGAUGAACCAUUCUAUUUUCACAAGGUCUAAGAGUACAGAGGAUCCCUAGGAAUUUGUAGAUAAGGUGCAUAAGAUUUUUGUGGCCAUAUGUGCCACAGAUACUGAGAAAGCAGAGUUGUUUAAGACAACCUUCCAGGAGAGAUUUUUCCCUAGGGAGAUAACGGAGCCCAAGGUUGAGUUGUUUAUCAACCUUAAACAGGGAUUGAUGACAGUCAGGGAGUAUUCCCUGAUGUUUGUGAAAUUAUCCUGGUAUGCCACAUCUCUUCUGUCUAACAGUUGAGACGAAAUGAGUAGAUUCUUAACAUAAAUUGUUAAGGAUCUCGAGGAGGAGUGUAGGGCAGGUAUGCUGCAUGAUAGCAUGGACCUUUCCAGGCUUAUGGUCCAUGUCCAGCAAAUGGAGUAAAGAAGAAAGAGGAAACACACUUGGGCAGGGUACAAGUCAAGGCAAGCAGAGGAAAAUUUUGAAGGAAGAGUAGUACUGAAAUAAGGGAUAAGCCCAAUUUUAAGAAGGGACUCCUCAACCAAGGGGAGUCAAGUUCAUCCAAGAGUCACCAUGAUGGGAGUUCCGAGUCUAUAGUUAACAGAAACAAUGAAGUAGAUACACCUCAAGUGAGACCACCUUGAAGAAAGUGUGGCAAACUACAUCGAGGAGAGUGUAUGAUGAACAAUGCUUGUUAUAGUUGUGGCAAACUGAGUCACGUGGUGAAGGAUUGUUCGAUUAGUAGAAGUCAAGAACAAAGGAAGGAUAGAAUUCAGUCCAAUGGUCCAAGUGAAGAGGAUCCAAGGAGGCAACGAUUCUUCGCACUCAAGUCUAAGGGUGCAGGGGAAGGCACUUCUGCUGAAGUCUCGGGUGAGUAGCCUUAAUUAGUCCUUCAUAUAUUUGAUUGUGUAUGGUGUUUAUGCACUAGUAUGAGUUUAAUAUAUUUGAGUCAUCAUGUUUGUUGCUGAUUUAUAUGACUGAUAUGUUAAUUUAUAUUUUAUGCUUUGAUAAGACUAGUUUAGGAAAGAGUUGCUUCGUCUAUUAAUGUGAAUCUACUUGUAGGUUUCAAGGAUGUUCACCAUCAUCUUAUAUGUGAAUCAGGUGCAGGCGUAGGUGGACUUUAGAUCUUACAAUACGAUGUUGCAGCUAUCCAAACGUGGAGCUUUCAUCCGAACUUGGUAGUCCCUCAUGCUUUCGAGGCUGUCUAAUGUUAUUAUCUAGAUUAUAUGUAGGCUUUAGCUAGUGGAGCAUGUACCACUAGUGUUUCAUUUCCCAUUUCAUUUCAUACUUUGUAUUGGUGCACUUUUUGGCAAGUAUACAUUUAAUGCAGCGACAAACUAUUUCAUUCAUUUGAUGAUCUUAAUCUUAGAUAGUUUAUGGUGAAUCAUUAUACAUGUAAUAGAAUAUUUACUAAGCAUGUUAGGAAAGGAAAAGUUUCAAUUUUUCCACAAAAAUUAACCUAGACGAACUAUGAAUAACGCAAGUACACUUGUCUGCGACCUCUAAGAUGUCAACGACGCCGUUCUCUUCUACGGACUAGACUCUGGUCGUGGCAAUGUUUGUAUCAGAGCCCUAGGUUAAAUUCUGAAGAUAAUAAGUUCACAUCAACCACAUUGAUUAGUUUCUAAGUCAUGGUAGUGAAGUGCACCACUAUCCUAAAUUGGAGACUACAUUAUGCGUACAAAUAUCUCCCUUCUUCUGAUCUUAUUGUGCCUUUUCUAAUGUAUGAUUUAUUGGUGUUAUGAGUGUGUGUAAUAUAAACUCCUAUUAUUUACAUAGAAUGAACACUAGGAGAACUAUUAGUCAGAGGAGAGGAGUAGCUGCGGGGAAAAAUAAGGUUCCACCCCAGGCUCGAGCUGAAGGAGUGGCUAUGCCGGUUAACCCUGCUAGGUUUACUGAUGAGGAGGUGUGUGCAUUUCUGGACCAGAUGGCACAGGACAUUACUAUGCAGGCCCAGGCCAUGACUGCCCAGUUCAACCAGUAGAAUGUUGAGAGGAAGAACCCACCAGUGCGCAGCAUGGCUAACAGGCUGAGAGACUUCACGAGGAUGAACCCUCCUAUUUUUACAGGGUCUAAGACUUCAGAGGAUCCCCAGGAGUUUGGAGAUGAGGUGCAUAAGAUAUUUGUGGCUAUGGGGGCCACAUAUACUGAGAAAGCAGAUUUGGCUUCCUAUCAACUCAAGGGUGUUGCAAAGACUUGGUGCAAGAUGUAGCAUGAUAGCCAAGCUUUUGUCGGAGUUCCGGUCACUUGAGAGCUAUUUAAGAAAGACUUCCUGGAGAGCUUUUUCUCUAGCUUUCCCUAUGAAGGUACUUUUGGUCAGUUGAUUAACUGUGAAAAAAGUCACCUCACGAUUCAUCAAAUUGUGUUUGACACCACAAAGAAAGAAUUAAAAGGAUCACAAGGUUUAAACAAAGGCAAGGGAUUACCGAUUGCCUGGGAUUUCCAUUCUUUGUGGGUAUUUCUGGAGAUAUUUUUCCCUAGAUUUCCCUAUGAAGAUACUUCUGGUCAGUUGAUUAACAGUGAAAAAAGUCACUUAAUGAUUCAUCAAAAUGUGUUUGACACCACAAAAAAGAAAAUUUAAAGGAUCACUGGGUUUAAACAAAGGCAAGGGUUUACGAAUUGCCUGAAAUGUCCACUCUUUCUGGGUAGGCCCAUGAUUUUCUAUUUUUAUGACCUUAUUUAUAAAGUUAUUUGCAAGAUUACACAGUCGUAAACAAAGCAAUUAAACUAUGGUGGAAGAGAUGUGUUGAUUAAACAUGUUAUUCAAGCCUUACCUAUUCAUUUAAUCUCAGUUUUAACCCCCCUACUACUGUAAUUAAGAAAAUACAAAUGUUGAUGGUAGAAUUCUUUUGCGGCUGGAAGAGUGACAAAAAGAAAAAUCACUGGGCUUCCUGGAGGAACCUUAGCUAUCCUAUUGAUGAAGGAGGGGUGAGAAUGAAAAAUCUUAAAGAUGUAUUCUUCGAUUUCCAAUAUAAACAGUGGUCAAACUUUAGAGUUAAACACACAUUGUGGUGAGAAUUCGACAAUGCAAAAUACUGCCAAAUAUCAAAUCCUAACUGAAAAAAUGGGAAUUUAGGGAUUCACUGAUUUUUAAAAUAUAUGAUUAAGAAUAGGAGUAAGGUGGAGCAACAUAUUCAUUGGAUGUUGAACUCGGAGAAUUGUUCCUUUUGGUGGGACAACUGGAUUAGAGAAGGUCAUAUUGCUCAAUGUUCUAACUCUAGCCACAGGUUUGACACGAGGAAAGUAGCUAACUUUUGGGUAGAAGGUCAGUGGAACUAUCAAAUGCUUGUUCAACAGGCACCCCCUAUCCAACUUGCCAAUAUCUUAGCAGUUUCAAUUCCUCAGCAUCAAUCUCCUGACCAAACAUAUUUGAAAAUAAAUCCCAAUGGAAUAUUCACAUGUUCUUUAGCAUGGAAUGAAAUCAGGGAGAAAAGACCCAAGGAUCAAUUUAGGGCUCUUAUUUCGAUGAGCCAUACACCUUUUAAAGCCUCUUUCCUUCUUUGAAGAGCUUUAAAUGUAAAGCCUCCUACUAAUGAGAGAUUAACUAAAUUUGGUGUAGAACCUUGUAACUAUUUUUGUUGCAAGAGCAGGACAGGAGUAGAUACAAUUAACCAUAUCUUUAACAAUGGAUAUCUUCCUAGAGAUGGUUUGCAAAAAGAGUAGGGGUAGAAAUUGAUUAGAACUCACUGAGGCAAAUUGUAUCUCAAUGGUGGUCAAUGAAUAACAACAAUGAAGCUCAUAAACGCAUCGUCCAGGCCUCCCAAUGCUUAUGUGCUUUUAUUUAUAAAACAUAGACGUACUUAUAAAUAUGGAGGCAAAACCCCUAGUGGCACAAGGGUCAGGUAUGCAAUUUAUAGUGCUAAUUAUAAGCUUAUAAAAUCUAUUUUUCCUCAGGUUAGCUGGCCACCUACUUGGAGUGAAAUAAUCUAAUUAGAUAAAACAUGUAUCCAUGUGACAAAGGUACAGAAGAUAGCUUAAACAAGACCACCGGAUGAAUGGAUAAAAUUUAAUACAGAUGGAAGUGUGAUUGAGAAUCCAAGCAAGAUAAGGGCAGGAAGUAUAAAAAGAGUACAUGAAGGCAAGCUCAUAUAAGCAUUUACCUCACCCCUAUGAAGUGGUACCAACAAUCAAGCAGAAAUAGGAGUAGAUAUCUUUGGUAUCUAUUGGGCUUUGGAACUUGCAUACGGGAAGAUCAUAUUGGAAAUGGAUUCAAUGCUAGCACUCAACUAGAUACUCCAAAAAAUAAUCCUCAGUGGAGCAUUUGCAAUCAACUAGACAAAUUGAAAGGCCUCAUAUCUCAACUACAUGAAUUCAAAUGUACUAAUGUUUACAGGGAAGCUAAUUGGGUGGCUUAUGCAUUGUCCAAUCAUAGACACAAAAUUUCUUGUCCAAAAAUUUACUAUAAUAAUCAAGAGUUACCUAAGGAGGCAAAGGAAUAUUUUCAUUGGACUUAAUAGAGAUGCCAAGCUUUAGAAGGAAGAAAACAAAGAAGAUCAAAAAACCUCCUUAAACAUUCUACGAACUUUUCUAGUAAGCUAUAACUCACAAUAUAGAUUCUUUGAAUAGUUUAAGAUGAUAGAUUGAUUAAUUUUUGAGAUGUAAAGGGAGAGUCUCCCUAAUUUAUGUUUCCUAGAUUCUAUGUAUUGAGAGGAGUCCUCUCUUGUAGGUAUAUAGGAGCUUUGGAUUCAUCUUAUUGUAAGGUGAGGGUUAAAUAUCUUUAGGAAAUUGAACCCAAAAAACCAUGGGAAUAGAACUAAGGUUUAUUUCCCCCUCUUUGUACAUUUUUUUUUUGAAAUGGUAAGGCCUGGGGUGUUACUUAGCCCCUACCCAUCUAAGGGUAUUAAAAUAAUAAAAAAAGGCCAAAAUACCAAAAUCCAAACAUGAAACACUAGACCAUAAAUGCUAAACCCCAUGCCAAAAAUUCAAAAAUCCAAAAAUAAAACUCUAAAUUAAAUAUAUAAAUCACAAAUCCUAAGCACCACACCCUAAAAUCUAAAAAAAAAUUCUAACCCUACCCCUAAUCGUAAACCCUAAACUCUAAACCCCAAGACCAAAAUACAAAAACACAAACAUAAAAUUGAAAACACUUGAUAUUUAACCUCAAAUCCUAAACUCCAAACACUAUAACCUAUAAAAAAAUUCCUAAUAUCUUACCCUAACCCUAACUGUAAGCUUAACCCUAACCUUAUCCUUAAACCCCAUACCGUUAACCCUAAACCCAAGCCAAAAAUACAAAAAUCAAAUGUUGAAUACUAAACCAUAGAUAUUAAACCUCAAAUUCUAAACCUAAAACCUAAAAAAAUACUAUAGACGAAACCCUAACCAUAACUCUAACAACAAAACCGAAAACCCAAUCUCAAAAUAUCAUAACCCAAAUAUUAAGAACUAAACCAUAGAUUUUAAACCUCAAUUCCUAAAACAAAACACAAACACUAACAUGAAACCCUAACCCUAACUCUUACCCUAACAAUAAACCCUAAACCCUAGACCCAAAUCCCAAAAUAAAAAAAUCAUAGAAUGAAACACUAGAACAUUUAUAUUAAAACUCAAAUCAUUCACCCUAAACACUAAACUCUAAAAGAAUACUACACCCUAACCUUAAUAUUAACCCAAAACUUGCCCCUAAACCCUAAACCCCAAUCCAAAAAUACCAAUACUCAAAGAUUAAACACUAAACCAUCGAUAUUUAACCUAGUCCUAAACCCCAAACUCUAAAACCUAAACAAAAAACUAAACCCUAAGUUUAAACCUAAUUUCUAAAUCGAAAUCUAAAAUUAUCAAAACCCAAAAAUUAAACACUAAAUCAUAGAUAGUAAACCUUAUAUCCUAAACCCGAAACCCCAAAACCUACAAAAUCCUAAACCUCUCCUAAAUCCUAAACCCUAAACCCCAAACCCAAAAUAUGAAAACCCAAAUUUGAAACACUAAAAUAGAGAUUAACCCACAAAUUCUAAGCCACAAUCCCUAUAAUAUAAAAAAACUAACUCUAACCCUUACCCUGAUCCUAAACCCUAAGACCUAAAUAAAAAAACACAAACAUUAAGCACUAAACCAUAUAUAUUGAACCUAAAAUCAUAAACCCCAAACACUAAAACCUAUAAAUGAAUCCUAAUAUCUAACCCUAAACGUACCUUUAACUCUAACCAUUAUCCUUAUCCUAAUCCUAAACCAUAUACCCUGAACCCUGAACCUUAAACCCCAGCCCAAAAUAAAAAAAAACAAACAUUAAUCAUUAAGCCAUCCUAAAUCCAAAACCCUAAAACCUAAAAUUAAUAAACACUAAAACCAAACCAUAAACCCUAAAACCUAAAAGCUAAUCCAAAAGAAUUAAAACCCAAAGAUUGAACACUAAAUCAUAGAUUUUAAAGAUUAUAUCCUAAACCCCAAACCCUAAAACCUUAAAAAAAUAAACCUUUAUCCUAACCCUAACCCUUAACCUAAUUCUAACUUUAACCCUAACCCUAACCCUAAACCCUACACCCUAAGCCCAAAAUACUUAAACCCAAAUAUUAAACUCUAAACUAAAGAUUUUAAACCUCAAGUCCUACACCCAAACACUAAAACCUUAAAAAACAUUAAACCAUAUCUUUUAACUAAACCUUAACUCUAACCCUAACCCCAAAUCGUAAACCCUAUAUCCAAAAUAAAAAAUACAAAAAUCCAAACAUUAAAUACUAAACAAUAGAUUUACAACUUAAAUCAUAAAACCCCAACCCUACAACCUAAAAACCCUAAACAUAACCUUAACCCUAACCCUAACCCUAACCCUUAACGAUAAAUGCAAAACCCACAGCCGAAAAUGCCAAAACCUAAACAUGGAACACUAAAAGAUAUUAAUCCACAAAUCAUAAACCCCAAAGCCUAAAUUCUAUAUAAACUAAACUCUAACCCUAACCCUAACCCAAAACCCUAAAUCAUAAACACUAAACCCCCAGAUUAAAAUGCCAAAACAUAAAUAUUAAACACUAAACCAUAGAUAUUGAACCUCAAAUCCUAAAUAUCAUACACUAAAACCAAUAAAAACUCCUUAAAUCUAACGCUAACACAAUCACAACCCUAAGCAUAUCCUUAACCCUAAACCCCAAGUCAAAAUACAAAAAACAAACAUUAAACACUAAACCAUAGAUGUUAAACCUCAAACACUAAACUCCAAACAAUAAAGCCUAAAAAACACUUAACACAAAACCCUAACCACUAAUCCUAAAUACAAAGUCCCAAUCUCAAAAUACCAUAACCCAAACAUUAAGCACUAUACCAUAGAUAUUAAACCUCACAUUAUAUAACAAAGAAAAUACUAAACACGAAACCGUAACCUUAACCCCAACCCUAACCCUGACCCUGACCCUAAAUCCUAAACUCUAAACCCUAAACCCUUAACCCAAAGCCCAAAAUACCAAAACCAGAACAUUAAAAGCUAAAUUACAGAUAUUAUAACUCCAAUCCUUAACCCUAAACCCUAAAAUAAACACAAACCCUAAUUCUAACAUUUACGUUAACCCGAAACCUAACCCUAACACUAACCCUAACCCUAACAUUAAUCCUAACCCAAACCAUAAACCAUACACCCUAAAUCCCAAGCCUAGAAUUCCAAACCUCAAGCAUUAAACCCUAAACAAUAGAUAUUAAACCUCAAAUCCUAAACCUCUAACCCUCAAAUCUAAAAAAAAA
Molecule: long non-coding RNA, 9548 nt
Organism: Solanum lycopersicum (tomato)
Lineage: Eukaryota; Viridiplantae; Streptophyta; Magnoliopsida; Solanales; Solanaceae
Source: RefSeq, a predicted model, not a curated record